Long non-coding RNA from Vigna angularis (adzuki bean), 339 nucleotides. RefSeq lists it as uncharacterized. The transcript is spliced from 3 exons. The record is from RefSeq and is a predicted model, not a curated record. Lineage: Eukaryota; Viridiplantae; Streptophyta; Magnoliopsida; Fabales; Fabaceae.
GGUGUGGAACUAUUGUCCGAACCCGUGACCGACGGAGUGUCGAGCGUGACAAUCCUUUGUGCGUAGUGUGAUGGAUGAACUUGGUGAACAAAGUAAAGGUCGAGAUACAACGAAGAAGUGUGUGUAGUGCUUCAACAACAAUGAAGAAUGAAACAAGCAAAAGCCAUAUUCAUGUUCAAGGAUGUGCUUACCUAUUGCAGGUACAUGUUUGUUAUGUAAUUGUUAAUCAAAGACAAUGAUUCGUUAUUGUUUUCAUCAUUUUUAUUGUCAUUGUUGAUGGAUUAAAAAUUUGCAGGUAUGGUUUUGUCACCAUUUUGUGACAUCGAAGUCCAUUUAUAG